Long non-coding RNA from Hemicordylus capensis (graceful crag lizard), 2685 nucleotides. RefSeq lists it as uncharacterized. The record is from RefSeq and is a predicted model, not a curated record. The transcript is spliced from 3 exons. NCBI's taxonomy places the organism in Eukaryota, Metazoa, Chordata, Lepidosauria, Squamata, Cordylidae.
GCCUUAAGGUCCCUCCUUAAUGGGGCUGAACUAGCAUGUCUAAGCUGAAUAUGGUUUGAAGUGGUUGAACUGUGAGAAAAGCUUAGGCCUGUAGCUUGAUGGCCCUGUCUCCUCAAUAAGAAAAGUAAAACUGUUGAGUUAAGAUGAGGAUCUGUGUUUCAUCACAGAUGAACAGGGGCAGUUGCUUUCUCCUUGUUGUGCGUCGCCCAGAGCCAUUUGGAUAGGGCGGUAUAUAAAUAUAUGAAAGAAAUAAUAAUAAUAAUAGCUUAUAAGUUAUAAGAGCCACCACUUUAAAAGGUGCUUUUUAAUUAUUGCUGGGUUUGCCACUUCCUAGAUAACUACUUUGUUGUUGUUUGAAAACAUAAAAUUAAUUUUCUGCAAAUUAAACCAAAACUCCCACCCCUUCAACAGUUUGUGGAGAAUGUGGGUGCUCACUCCCAGCCUGUCGAGAGCACAUUCUCUUUGCCCCUGCCUCACUGAAAUGCAGCAUGAGGCGGGGAGAGCAGAGAUAGGCCAGCCGGAUAGGCAGACGGGGCCUUCAGGCCAUUGUAGAGCUCUUGUACUAGCUCUCUCAGUUGCAUUUUGAGAAGCGAGCAGAAAGUGCCACUCUGGUGCCUGAUCCUGACAACUUGACAGAGUCCUUCAACACCAGCACCAUUGCCAGCAGAGGGGAGUCAGCCUGUGGAUCUUGGCUCAGGACCUGGCCAGCUGGAGCAGCAUGCCGGGGUGUUGGUUGUUGGACACUUGAUUGUGUUGUGUGUCCCAGCUGCUUCCAUGAGCCCGCUUGUUAGUCCACAACUCUGCUUGAGCCAGUUUGCUGUGAUCUCAUGGAUCAGCAAGAGGGGUAUGCUCUUCAGUCGGCGGUUGCCUGCAGUUUGGGAAUUCCUGGAGCCUAACCAGCCCCUGGACAUUUUCUUAGUUCAUCUUGUGGGGGUGGAUAACCUGGUUAGUAAGUUAGGACUGGCCUUCUCCUCUGGGGUGUGUCAGGAUCUGGAGGUAUUGCAGGAUUGGAUCCCAGGAGUUUUGCUUUUAUGGCCUGUGUGCUCCACUGCCACAUUUAGCAUGGAGCCUUGUGGCCUAGAAAGGUUGACAAGGCCUGGGCAAAGAUUAACUGAGCCCUGAGCAAGUUUGUUUCAGUUCCAGGAGAUGGGGUUAUGCCUCACCACAAUAUCUGCCACAUUCAGCCAGAAUUAUUCAGGGGAGAUGGGGUUCAUUUGUCCUACAAAGGGUGUGAUAUUUUCUUGGCUGAAUUGCGUAGAGGGUUGGCUUUUGUCUUGUGGGUGGUGGAAGGAGCCAAGCUAGGCUGGCCCUUCCUUGUGGCAGGUACAGUGCGGCUUCUGAAGUAGUAUAAGGCUGGUGAACACCUUAAGGCAUGUGUUUGGUUUAAAGAGGGGUCCUCGACAGUCCCUAGAUGCUUUAGGGCAGGAAUUCUCAAUGUGUGGAUCCCCAGAUGUAAUUGGACUUCAACUCCCAUAAUUCACAUCCAAAGGCACUGGGGCUGGGGAUUAUGGGAGUUGAAGUCCAAUAACAUCUGGGGAGCCACAUGUUGAGAAACUCUGCUUUAGAGCACAGGGAGCGCUGUCCAGGAUUCUCUCUAAUCUGUGGGAGGAUUGCUAACCUUAAAUGCUACAUGGCGUGAGAGGGGCAAAUCCUUUAAGCAGGUGCCUUGGCACUAGGUUGGCAAAGAUAGACAGCAGAUGACUUGGGGCUGAUGCUUUCUUCAGCCAAGGUGUGUCGCCCUAAGCUAUUAUGCGGAACUUGCGCUUCCGCUAGUUCCUAGCUUCCGCACUGUAGGGGGUGGAAAGCCAAUCAUCUUCUACCUUUCAGCCUUUUUGAAUAAAACUGUGGCCCAGUUUAACUCCAAAAUACAUGCUUUGUGUCUACGUUGGCGGGGUUUUGCAAAUCUAAUCCUCUCGGUUACAGGACUACAAAACAAUAUUUCAAAUUCUCUAGUUCCUACAUUCCAAAAAUACAAUGCACCAAUUCUAUGCAUGAGUUUUCUUCAAGGGUAAAUUGUUUAAGAUGAUUUUCCAGUCCAUAUUGAAGUUUGAAUCGUGCAAUAAAUGUAAGUGGGAGUUGGUAAGACAUCUGGACCUUUGAAAAGACAUAUUGAUGAACAUCUGAGUAAUGUGAAUGGUGCCCCUUUGGUAGCUCUUCUUUUGUGUGUGUGUGGAGAAAAAAACAUUCCUUUAGGGAUGUACUGUUUGGGGCAAUUGAAAAAAUAUAUAUACAUGGAAAUGAUAAAGCUCUACUUAAGAGAAGCAUGGUGGGUUUGGGAAUUGAGCACUUUGGCUCCACAGAAAUUAAAUUUGGAGCUUGAUUUUUUUUUUUUUUUUUUGGCUAUGCUUAAAUGAAGGGUAUGAUAUUCCUUUAAGUUGUUUUCAGCGUUAAUGAAUUACAGCAAGGUUUAUUGGCAAUAGUAUGAAUUUGCUUCUCCAGUUGGCAAUGUUAUAAGCUUGUGAGAAGGCAAAUAACUACUUGUUAGUUUUCUUUGGAAUACUAUAAAUGUAAGUUGCCAUGAGUAUGAUACAUCUUACUGGUGGUUUCAUUUUUAUCUUGUUUCAAAUGUGUUUGUUAUUAAGUGGUUUUUCUGCAUUUUAAAAUGUCAUGUUAGCACUGCCCCUGAAGAAAGCCUCUUGUAGCCAAAAUGCGUUGGGCUCCAAUAAAUGGUUCACAGCACCUUGA